RNAcentral lists this transfer RNA (73 nucleotides) under Microcaldota archaeon. Its description in RNAcentral is "tRNA-Pro". It matches the Rfam family "tRNA". Rfam says of the family: Transfer RNA (tRNA) molecules are approximately 80 nucleotides in length. Their secondary structure includes four short double-helical elements and three loops (D, anti-codon, and T loops). Further hydrogen bonds mediate the characteristic L-shaped molecular structure. tRNAs have two regions of fundamental functional importance: the anti-codon, which is responsible for specific mRNA codon recognition, and the 3' end, to which the tRNAs corresponding amino acid is attached (by aminoacyl-tRNA synthetases). tRNAs cope with the degeneracy of the genetic code in two manners: having more than one tRNA (with a specific anti-codon) for a particular amino acid; and 'wobble' base-pairing, i.e. permitting non-standard base-pairing at the 3rd anti-codon position. Lineage: Archaea; Nanobdellati; Microcaldota. The record is from RNAcentral.
GGGGUCGUAGGAUAACCUGGUAGACUACCAGAUUCGGGAUCUGGCGAUCCGAGUUCAAAUCUCGGCGACCCCA